UAGAGUGCUUCUUCUUCAGGAACUAGAAAAAUGGAGAGAGUGAUUGUUUUUUUUUAAAUCAGAUCACAGAGUCGUUGUUGCAGCAGCAGUCGAGCGAUUGUAGCAGUCGUCGUCGCAGUAGAAUCGUCGAGCUCUGAUACCAGUGAAUGAAACACAGAGAAGAAGAAAGAUGAUAUCUUUGAGGGGGGCUCCGGUAAUGGGUAAAGGGCUUGAUUUUUCUUUUUCGUUGUGUUUUCUCAAGUAGAUUACUCCUCUAUUUAUAGGCCGAAAUCCCAUCAUCUCCACCCCCCUCAAACUGCCUCUGAGAGAAAAUCUCUCAACAAACCCCAAUUCACAUUCUCCACGAUUCUCUCUACUGAGAAACCGUUGUUGAUUUGGUCAUCCAUGACCGAGUCAAGCUAACAUCAGCCUCUAUCACAUGUGGCUCAUGUAAGAAGAGGAGGAUCAAGAAGGGUGAUGGAAAUGAAGAGUUGGAAAGCGCCGCUACUAUUAUUGGCCAUAGCAUUGAGAAGUCGGCCAUACAACUUUCUUCAAGAGUUUCUAAGUUAUCGAAGAAGAGGACGGAUGUUGUUAAAGAAGUCAUGAAGAUGACUUCCUGACUGAUGAAGCAAAAGUUAUAGUUUGUGGGAAGCUUGUAGUGAAGGAAGAGUGGGUUGAGCUUUUUUUAAGUUUGCCAAUAGUGAAGAUGAGGGGAAUUUUUGCGCUGCAGGUACUGGAUGAUCAAUAGGGUAGAUUGAAAAUUAAAGGUUGAGUGAUUCAGAAGACUAGAAGGGUUUAGUGAUGAUAUAGAUUUGCCAAGUCUUGUUGCCAAAUGGAGCAGCUUCAUGCUAAAUGAUUCAAUUGAAAAGUAACAAUACUUCAUGGUUUCAUGUGGGAGAAUGUCGAUGUCAGAGUUUAGUGAUGAUAUAGUUUUGCCAGGUCUUGAUGCCAAAAUAGAGCAGCUUUAUGCUAAAUGAUGGACACAAGGACAUACUUUUUUUAUUUCUAUGUUGAAUAUUGUAAGAUAUAUUUUUAAUACUCUCUCAGGUGUAACUCGGAUUAUGUGGAUGUUUUGAUUAGAUGCAAGGUUCUUGAAACAAGUU
This is a long non-coding RNA of Asparagus officinalis (garden asparagus), 1082 nucleotides long. RefSeq lists it as uncharacterized. The record is from RefSeq and is a predicted model, not a curated record. Lineage: Eukaryota; Viridiplantae; Streptophyta; Magnoliopsida; Asparagales; Asparagaceae. The transcript has 3 exons.